GGCCCGUGGCGAAGCCUGGAUAUCGCGGCAGCCUCCUAAGCUGACGGCCGGGGGUUCGAAACCGUUUUCCA
This 71-nucleotide transfer RNA is filed under the name Promethearchaeota archaeon. RNAcentral describes it as "Candidatus Lokiarchaeota archaeon tRNA-Arg". The record is from RNAcentral. Lineage: Archaea; Promethearchaeati; Promethearchaeota.